Molecule: ribosomal RNA, 309 nt
Filed under: uncultured eukaryote
Lineage: Eukaryota
Description: partial 18S ribosomal RNA
Rfam family: Eukaryotic small subunit ribosomal RNA
Source: RNAcentral
CCCUUAGAUGUUCUGGGCGGCCCGCGCACUACAAUGGCGUGUGCAGCGAGUGCCGAAGUAGAGUUUUCCGAGGUAUUCUUGCAAUGCUCGUUUUGAUGGGGAUAGACCCUUGCAACUGUUGGUUUUGAACGAGGAAUUCCUUGUAAGCAUGGUUUAUCAUCCGACGCUGAAUGCGUCCCUGCCCUUUGUACACACCGCCCGUCGCUCCUACCGAUGAGUCGUCCGGUGAAGUUCGUAGACCUCGUGAUCGCGGAUCACUGGGGGAGGCAAAAUGAACCUCGCGGUUUAGAGGAAGGAGAAGUCGUAACA